UUCUGGCAUAGACUUUCUUCUUCCAACAUCAGGUGCAAAUGAUGAUUACAAGAAGCCUUGCUUGUUGUGGAGAAAAUGCGGCCAAACACCUCUUCUUCUGUUUGUUGAAGUUACAAAAUACGUGGUCAAUGGAGUCUAAUUUGAAUGAAAUUUUAUGGGCACACAGAGGUUGGUGUGAAGUAAGGAACGCUCUAUUUUGACCUCUGUAGCCUCUCUACAGAGAGCUUAAUAGAUAAAUGUUUCAAAUUACAGUAUGUUCCAAUUAUUGUACAUUUAUGGGACGGUGUGAGCUCCCUCUACGGGCUAAUUUAACGUCUGCAAAUUCCAAUAAUUCUUUUUUGUAACAAAGCCUCUGUGUAGCCUAGUGGAUAAGGUGCCUGCCUAAGGUUUCUAAGGUUGUGCUCUUUUGAGCGUGUGCAAGAUGGCUGCCACAAAAGUGUUUGAAGCUGCCGCGUUUGAAGCUGCCGCGUGUGUUUGAAGCUGCCGCAUUUGAAGCUGCCAGGUUUGAAGCUGCCGCGUGUGUUUGAAGCCGGCGUGUUUGAUGUUGCUGAGUACGUUUGUAAAUUUGAGGCAGACUUUAAUAUUGUUAGACGGUAGGGGAGUCCUUUUCAACCUUUUUUCAUUUUUCACUUGAACUUUUAAAAAGUUUUAUUUUAACUUUUUUUUUAAACUAUUUUAACUACUUAUGUCAGCUGAGGAAUGCUGUGAUUCACAGCCAUUAUUGUAAGGAGGCUGUUAUGUAUUUUUAGUGCUGCUGGGACCAUAGGAAUUUUUGAGUGACUUUGACUGCAGACAACAAUGUGGAGAAUAAUCCCGGCUGUGAAAAGUGCUGUUGGGGCUGCAGAAAAGUACAGAAUAAUUUUGACCAAGGGCAAUCAUGGCUGCUUUUAGAAGACAUCCAAGAAUGCCUGAGUGUUGAAUCUCUUCCUCCAUCCUUGUGCCUCUGCAGUUCAGUGACCUCAACAUGGGAGGAGAAAUGCGCGUGUCCCAGAAGCCCCACACAUUGGUCAAGCCAGCUGAGAGGUUAAGAGGCACAGCUACUUGUUGUGCUUCAAGAGGGACUGUAAACCUCCGCUUGUAAUACCUGCUUCCGAAGGAGAGCUUCCCCUUAGUUAAUCAAGUGCUAUUUGUAGGAACUCUUCCUGAUGCAUUUGGAAAACCUGAUUUGUUCCAUACGUGCCUCUCUGAAGAUCAUGUGACUCAUAUCUCAGGUGACGUUCAAAACAUCUUCCCUGGAGGUGAAAAAACAGCUCUUGAACUGGGGAGAGAGUGGCAAACUCCUUUGUUUCUUGGUUCUUCAUGGUACCCUUAUCGCCAAACUGUCACAGGAAAAAAAGAGAGACAGACAACUUCUGAAACAUUGAUUAGUAGUGUACUGACAAAAACUGGUCUCCAUUGACAAGAAACAACAGAGCAAUUGUUAGUUUAUGCAACUUAUACUGAGCAUACAGCCAGAUAAGCAUAAAUGAAACAUCCUACCACAAUCAAUUGCGAUGGAAAUCAGAGCAGACCUCUCCAGAUCAGCCUUGCAUAUCCCGAUGAGAGUGAUCCUAUAAAGUUCUAGGAGAGCACUUCUCCUCCCUUUCCCUGGGGUUUGUAACCUCCGAACCUGUACAUUAGGUGAAGUUGGACUCAUUGUACGCUCAGAACCAGGUAACAUUCCCUGCAUAGUCUACAUCUGGGUCUUUCAGUACUGUUUGUAACUUUGUCAGAUUUUUAGAACCGUUUCCAUGAUAAUGAAGAACUCAUCUGGAUUCAACUUUCCCCAUCUGCUUUCUGCCUGUUGUCAGAGAUCAAAAUGGAAAGUAUGCUCGAGCUGUAAUCUAUGUGUUGGUAUGAACUCAUUGUGAAUAUAGAAUGUCAUCCCAUUCACCUCCCUACUAAGAGGAUACUACAAAACAAGAGAGUUUCAUUAAGGAUAAUUUUGGGUCUUGAUGAUAAAAAACAAUCCUUGUAUAAAGAUAAUGAAAAAAUUGAAUUUUCCCAUAGAUACAAGAUGAAUAAGUAGCUCGUGACAGCUAUAUAAAACCGGAAAAGUUUCUCUUCUGAGAAUUUGGACAGUAAAAAAGGUGAUAUUCACUGGGAGCAGGACACUGAUAAUGAUAAGCGAGUGCUUUUACCAGAUAUGGGCUAAUGUGGCAGAGAAUUUCGUUGGCUUCAAAAUGACAUGAAGAAAAAGGAAUCCACUGAUUCCAAAUGGACAAGAUGUGUACUUGAAAUUAUCAGAGCUAGGACAAAAGAUUAACAACUAUUCAUGAUCUUGGACUGCUUGCUUGAAGAAGACUGGAUCUUUGUAGUAACCUGAGGAUUGUUUUCAAGAUAAAACUGUGUUAAAUUGUGGUUAUGGAGAUCAAGCAGUUGGUAUUGGUUUCAAAUAAUUCACUUCAGAAUGAUACGAGUGUGCAUGGAGUUUGUUGAAUGUCUUUUGUCAUAUUUAGAGAUAUAUAUUACCAGAAGAGUUACAGUGCUUGUUUAAUGUAGAAUUAAACUAUAUGCAGUGUGCUGGUGGAAACUAUCAGCAAUGAGAGCAACCCCUUUCCUCCAGCUGAUAUUAAAAACAUUAUUUGAUAUAAUGGUGAUUAUGCAAAUACUGUGAUUUCUAUUAAAGCUUGAAAGUAGGUGAGAUGUUCUGCUGCUGUGCCUGUGGAAAACACAUUCUUUAAAAAGAAAAACUAUGCCUGGCACCAUUAAGAGGGUCGGUUGGCUUGAAUUCAUUGGAGUUUUCUAGCAUGACAGUUUGUGCUACUAAUGAGGCAAUAUUGGGAGUGAAAGCAAUUUUUGAGACUUGCUUUGUCAGCUGUUUUGCAUGGUAAUGAAUCCCCUUAAAGCUUGAGGCCACAGGAUUUGCCUUUUCCUCUCUUUGAUUGAAUGAAACGCCUAACUCUGGCAAUAAAGAAGCUGCAAUUAAAGAACUUUACUUGAAGGAGCUCUACAGUUCUGUAACUUUGGGAUGUGGAGGGGGAAGAGAUUCACUUUGGGGAAGAAAAUGUACACUCAUUCACUAUAAAGUUGUUCAAAUGACAAUUUCUUUAAGCACUUAACUUUAAAGCAAAUGCAGGAGAAAAUAUUCCAAGUAGUAUGUUAUAUAUAUGUUAAGUGGUAUUGUUCGCACCAUGCUAUCUUUUUUUUUUUUUUCCCCAAACCCAUAUUUCUCUCACUUUUUCCUCAUGCUGAUUCUGAAGUGGCACAUCCAAAAUAGUAUCAUAGAAUCAUAGACUCCAUAGAGUUGGAAGGGACCUCUGAAGGCCAUCUAGUCCAACUCCCCUGCAACGAACAGGGACACCACAGCUAGAACAUGUUGCCUAGGUGAAUCUCAUGACGUUCAACAAAUCCAAAUGCAAUAUCUUGCACCUGGGUCGAGGCAAUCCCCAUUACCAAUACACACUGGGGGAUGAAAGGAUUGAGUGCAGCCCUGACAAAAAAGACCUGGGGGUACUGGUGGAAGGGAAGCUGGACAUUAGUCAUCAAUGUGCCCUCACAGCCCAGAGAGCCAACAGUAUCCUGGGCUGCCUCAAAAGAAACACACAGAAUCAUAGAAUCAUAGAAUUACUCAGGUUGGAAAGGAC
Molecule: long non-coding RNA, 3566 nt
Organism: Gallus gallus (chicken)
Lineage: Eukaryota; Metazoa; Chordata; Aves; Galliformes; Phasianidae
Exons: 7
Source: RefSeq, a predicted model, not a curated record